Molecule: ribosomal RNA, 754 nt
Filed under: human gut metagenome
Description: bacterial SSU rRNA
Rfam family: Bacterial small subunit ribosomal RNA
Source: RNAcentral
GUCGUAGCAGAUCUUCCGGGUGAUCGUCCGCGUAACGGUGGAUGCUGGAUGUGGGGCCCGUUCCACGGGUUCCGUGUCGGAGCUAACGCGUUAAGCAUCCCGCCUGGGGAGUACGGCCGCAAGGCUAAAACUCAAAGAAAUUGACGGGGGCCCGCACAAGCGGCGGAGCAUGCGGAUUAAUUCGAUGCAACGCGAAGAACCUUACCUGGGCUUGACAUGUUCCCGACAGCCGUAGAGAUAUGGCCUCCCUUCGGGGCGGGUUCACAGGUGGUGCAUGGUCGUCGUCAGCUCGUGUCGUGAGAUGUUGGGUUAAGUCCCGCAACGAGCGCAACCCUCGCCCUGUGUUGCCAGCACGUCAUGGUGGGAACUCACGGGGGACCGCCGGGGUCAACUCGGAGGAAGGUGGGGAUGACGUCAGAUCAUCAUGCCCCUUACGUCCAGGGCUUCACGCAUGCUACAAUGGCCGGUACAGCGGGAUGCGACAUGGCGACAUGGAGCGGAUCCCUGAAAACCGGUCUCAGUUCGGAUUGGAGUCUGCAACCCGACUCCAUGAAGGCGGAGUCGCUAGUAAUCGCGGAUCAGCAACGCCGCGGUGAAUGCGUUCCCGGGCCUUGUACACACCGCCCGUCAAGUCAUGAAAGUGGGCAGCACCCGAAGCCGGUGGCCUAACCCCUUGUGGGAUGGAGCCGUCUAAGGUGAGGCUCGUGAUUGGGACUAAGUCGUAACAAGGUAGCCGUACCGGAAGGUGCGGCUG